Molecule: ribosomal RNA, 232 nt
Filed under: Silene grandiflora
Lineage: Eukaryota; Viridiplantae; Streptophyta; Magnoliopsida; Caryophyllales; Caryophyllaceae
Source: RNAcentral
UCACGCAUCGCGUCUCCCCCAWAUCCACCCCGAGUGGAGGGGAAGGAGGAUGGUCUCCCGUGACUCACCGGUCGCGGCUGGCCUAAAGUUGGAGCCCCUCSGCAUCGGGAUGCYGCGGCKAUAGGUGGUGAACAAGGCCUCGGCCAAGCAAGCAACCCGUCGCGCAUCGCCAUGCCAAUGUGAGCUCGAAGGACCCUUUGACGUUGCCAAACGGCAACCAAACCGUUGCGAC